GAGUUUGAUCAUGGCUCAGAUUGAACGCUGGCGGCAUGCCUUACACAUGCAAGUCGAACGGUAACGGGUUAAGCCGACGAGUGGCGAACGGGUGAGUAAUAUAUCGGAACGUGCCCAAUCGUGGGGGAUAACGCAGCGAAAGUUGUGCUAAUACCGCAUAAGAUCUACGGAUGAAAGCGGGGGAUCGCAAGACCUCGCGCGAGUGGAGCGGCCGAUAUCAGAUUAGCUAGUUGGUGAGGUAAAGGCUCACCAAGGCGACGAUCUGUAGCUGGUCUGAGAGGACGACCAGCCACACUGGGACUGAGACACGGCCCAGACUCCUACGGGAGGCAGCAGUGGGGAAUUUUGGACAAUGGGCGCAAGCCUGAUCCAGCAAUGCCGCGUGCAGGAUGAAGGCCUUCGGGUUGUAAACUGCUUUUGUACGGAGCGAAAAGGUCUGCCCUAAUACGGUGGGCUCAUGACGGUACCGUAAGAAUAAGCACCGGCUAACUACGUGCCAGCAGCCGCGGUAAUACGUAGGGUGCAAGCGUUAAUCGGAAUUACUGGGCGUAAAGCGUGCGCAGGCGGUUAUAUAAGACAGAUGUGAAAUCCCCGGGCUCAACCUGGGCACUGCAUUUGUGACUGUAUAGCUAGAGUACGGUAGA
Molecule: ribosomal RNA, 644 nt
Filed under: uncultured bacterium
Lineage: Bacteria
Description: bacterial SSU rRNA
Rfam family: Bacterial small subunit ribosomal RNA
Source: RNAcentral